Molecule: long non-coding RNA, 252 nt
Filed under: Trifolium pratense (red clover)
Lineage: Eukaryota; Viridiplantae; Streptophyta; Magnoliopsida; Fabales; Fabaceae
Description: long non-coding RNA (TPRA_LNC008775)
Source: RNAcentral
CUGAACUUAGAAACUUUGGAUUCAACACAAACUCAAGUACCUCAGCCAGAAUGUGACUUAAUUGAAUUAUGAGUAAGUUACAUUACUUAGUCCAAAGAUUUUCUUACAUUUUCAUGGAUUUGGAUCUCUCCAUUUUUCACUCAUGCUUUCUCAAUUUUUCUUAAUCCAAGUGUUAGUAAAUUACAAAGAAGAAAAAAUCAACAUUUGAAUUAAGAAAAAGUAGAUAAAACAUAAGGGAAAAUUGGAGCCGAU